RNAcentral lists this ribosomal RNA (468 nucleotides) under uncultured bacterium. Its description in RNAcentral is "partial 16S ribosomal RNA". It matches the Rfam family "Bacterial small subunit ribosomal RNA", at positions 28 to 507 of the family's 1533-position model. The record is from RNAcentral.
GACGAACGCUGGCGGCGUGCUUAACACAUGCCAGUCGAACGGAAAGGCCCUGCUUUUGUGGGGUGCUCGAGUGGCGAACGGGUGAGUAACACGUGAGUAACCUGCCCUUGACUUUGGGAUAACUUCAGGAAACUGGGGCUAAUACCGGAUAGGAGCUCCUGCUGCAUGGUGGGGGUUGGAAAGUUUCGGCGGUUGGGGAUGGACUCGCGGCUUAUCAGCUUGUUGGUGGGGUAGUGGCUUACCAAGGCUUUGACGGGUAGCCGGCCUGAGAGGGUGACCGGCCACAUUGGGACUGAGAUACGGCCCAGACUCCUACGGGAGGCAGCAGUGGGGAAUAUUGCACAAUGGGCGGAAGCCUGAUGCAGCAACGCCGCGUGCGGGAUGACGGCCUUCGGGUUGUAAACCGCUUUCGCCUGUGACGAAACGUGAGUGACGGUAAUGGGUAAAGAAGCACCGGCUAACUACGUG